UGGUGUGUGUAUUUAUACUGCGUGUCUGCCUGUGCUCCUCGUUGCGUCGUCUGUGUUCAUUCCCUAUGUUUCUCUACUUCUCCCUGUUCUGCUGUCCUCAUCUGCCAUCUCUGAGUUUCUCCCGCUGACCUUAUGUUCCAGGUUUGUUUGUUAGUUUCACCCAGUUUAGGUUUAUGUUCAGUCCUGCCCUCACUUCUGUUAUCUUCACUGUAAAUAAACCUCCACUCGCAUCUCCAUCACCGUCUGCAUCUUGGGUCCUCAUUUAUUCAUCACACGACUGCUGCCCCAGUCGUGACAGAUAAAGUGCUGCACUCUCAAAGACUGAACCAGCAUUGCAGCCAUGGGUCACUGUGAGCAUCACAGGGAAGGUUGAAGCGUCCACUGCACCUGUAUGGCCAGAGUCGUGGAGACCUGCAUCCACGUCACUGCUCUUCUGUUUAAUGUAGAAGCAACAGUGCGGAUCUGUGGCACGAGGACUGUUACAGAUGAACCUCCAUACUGAGUUUUGCCUGGUAAUAUGACCAAGAUACAGCCAGAGGUUGGCCAUAAGAUAGACUUCUCCUCUUCAGCUGCCCAAAAAAGGCUCUUGAUCAAAACAUAAACAGACCAUCCGUAUUGAAAGGUAAAAGGAGCCCUGCCCAAAAAAGGCUCUUGAUCAAAACAUAAACAGACCAUCCGUAUUGAAAGGUAAAAGGAGCCGUCCUCAAAAAAGAAAAAUCCCACCUGCUACUGUGGAGGAGUUGUCACUGCUAUAAUGCCAUAAUGUUUUAUAUAGGGGUCUAGAUUUAUGCCUGUAGUGCACUGCCAUGUAAAUAAUUUGCAUUUACUGAAUA
Long non-coding RNA from Oreochromis aureus, 833 nucleotides. The record is from Ensembl. NCBI's taxonomy places the organism in Eukaryota, Metazoa, Chordata, Actinopteri, Cichliformes, Cichlidae.